Molecule: ribosomal RNA, 433 nt
Filed under: uncultured bacterium
Lineage: Bacteria
Description: partial 16S ribosomal RNA
Rfam family: Bacterial small subunit ribosomal RNA
Source: RNAcentral
AACGAACGCUGGCGGCAUGCCUAACACAUGCAAGUCGAACGACACCUCCGUGUCUAGUGGCUCAUGGGUGCGUAACGCGUGGGAACCGUCCCGUAGGCUCGGAAUAACUCUUCGUCAUGGGUGCUAAUACCGGAUAAUGUCUUCGAACCAAAGAUUCAUCGUCUUUGGAUGGGCCCGCGUUGUUUUAGCUGGUUGGUAGUGUAAAAGCCUACCAAGGCAAGGUUCGAUAGCCGGUCUGAGAGAAUGGUCAGCCACACUGGGACUAGGACACGGCCCGGACUCCUACGGGAGGGGGGAGUGCGGGAUCUUGGAAAAUCGCGUGAGGCCUGAACCCGCUAUGCCGGGAGAGUGAUGAAGGCCGGAAAGAAAUAAAGCUGUUUUACACGGCAUGAUACUGACGGUACCGGAAGAAUAAGCUCCGGCUAACUCCGUG